RNAcentral lists this non-coding RNA (749 nucleotides) under Pan troglodytes (chimpanzee). Lineage: Eukaryota; Metazoa; Chordata; Mammalia; Primates; Hominidae. The record is from RNAcentral.
AGAUGGGGAUCUCACUCUGUUUCCCAGGCUGGUCUCAAACUCCUGGCUUCAAGCAAUCCUCCUGCUUUGGCCUCCCAAACUUCUGGGAUUACAGAUAUGAGCCACCACGGCUGGCUGACAGGCACCAAAUUCUAGGAGAGGACUUCAAUAGACUCCCAAGGAGGCAGCAGAAACUGGGGUAAUCACAACGGUCAACAGCAGCAAAGGCAGCACUUUCUGAUUUACUUGACUGCUAUGGAUGCCACCUAUCUCCACGCCUCAGUUUAAUAUCUGACAGGAGGUGUCCUGGUGAUCAGCUGGAGCUCUGGGGAGCUGUUGCUGAAAUUAACUUGAGUGCUUUGGAGAGAGAUUUACAUGGCAGAGUGGAGCCAGGGCUGCUCCUUUGGCAGGCACUGCUGUGCCACUGUGGAGGCGCCCCUGCUUUUCCCAUGCUUUGCAGUGUCUUUAAAGGCCUUUGGAGCCAUGCCCAGGCUCAGCCCCAUCCUGGUGUCCCCCUGUGUCCGUUUUGCCACUGCCCGGCUACUUCACUUGGCCAUGGGCCUUACCAGCUUGCAGACAAACCCGUCCAUCUACGCCUCCCAGCGCAGCUUGGCCCACUUGCAAGCACUUACAGAGGGUUUCAGAAGGAACAUGUCUGCCAUCUGUGUUUGGAGACUGUGUCCCAGACUUUUGAGCUCACAUUAGUCAUGGCCACAGACGGGACUGGAGUCCUGCCCACUGGAGUCCCAAAGGUCUCUGGUGUUUGUUUU